UUCAGUGGAAGAAGCUAAUUGGGAGACAGAUGAUCGGAUGAGAGAGAUGUAUCCAUGCUUGUUUUAUGAUUGCUAGUGGAUGUAUUUGUUAUGUAUAAUUUCGAGGACAAAAUUUUUUAAGGUGGGGAGAUUGUCAUAGCCUGUCCCAAAUAUAUAAUUAUCGAUGGCGUGAAUUGACGAAAAUACCCUUGGACGUUAGUUGUGUAAUGUGGUUUAUGUGUGGUUUUGGGUCAAUAUUCUUAAAUCCUAAUUGUUUAGAACCAAUUAGGAUUAAGUUAUGGUAUUUUUGAUGGUUAACCAAUCCUAGGCCACACACACGCACUCUCUCUCUUCUUUCUCCCGUACCCUCUCAUCUCUCUCGGACUCUCACUCUCUCUCUCCUUCUAAAUCGUACGGACAAUCACCCAAAACCCUUGAAACUUCACGGAUCGUGGUCAAAGUUGGCACCAUUGUGUUCGUGAAGCUCAGACGAGUCGAUUGGUACCUAUUUCAGGUAAGGAUACCUUCGAAAACCCUAGAUUUUCAUAACCCCCGAUUUGUGCACUGUUCAUGCACACGUGAUUAUGGAUGUUUUUGGGAAUUUGAAGCUUGUAGGAAGCUUAGUGAGGUCCUAAGGAAGCUCGGAGUGCUUCGUUUGAAGGUUUUGGACGUCGGGAUCGUGCGGACGAAGUUUGGCCGGUUUUCAUGGAAUUCUCCGGUGAGAUCCCGUGACAUUUAGAACUUUAAAUUAGUAUGAUUGUGUUCUACUAGUUAAAAGCUUCAUUUUGGUAUAAAUUAGUGAAAAAUGGUGCAAAAAUAAGCGAGAAAUAGGCAGUUGCAGGUCUGCCCAGAAUCUGGCGCCGAUGGCAUUAUUCCGGUGUCUGGAGGUUGAAGGUGAUGCGCAUGAGGGCGCGUGAGGCCAUGCCUUCCCCGGUGCGUAAGGGCGCGUGAGCCACAAAAAAAUUAUUCUAAAAAUAUCACGAUGUUCGUGAGGUUGCGUAGGUCAUGUUGGUAUAUUCAAAUACCGAAAUUGAGCUUUGUAUGAGAAGUUAUUAGCUAGUUUUGUAUAUGUGCUUUAAAAUAACGUUUUUAUAGUUAAUUUGCAUAUAUUUGAGACUUAUCCCGAGGACGAGCGUAUCCACGGGCGACUCGGGGGUUACGAUCCGUUGACAUACUAGUGAGUGGGCUUUUGGUUUCAGUAUAUAUUUAUAUACUUGAUAUAUUUCCCAGAAAUGCAUUUUUAAGGAAUGUAUGCUUUGAAAUAAUAUGCCAAAUACUUUUAUAUUAUGAAUAUGCAUUUCAUGGCUGCAUAUAUAUAUAUAAAUGUGGUGCUGUGAAGGCACUGGUAAGUUCAGGUAAGUUAUGUUUGAUUAUGUGAAUCAUCGAUGAUGUGAUAUGUGAUUGAAUAAUGUUGAGCUCAUAAAACUGCACCUAGGGUGAUUGUGAUUUAGCCAGAGAUAUGAAGUACAUGCUUGUUUAUUUACGUCACCUCCCGCACUAUAUGCUCAUAUUGGAUCCAACUUAAGUGCACAGUCUUGUCGUACAGACCUUAUUUAUGGUUCCGACUUGUAGGUGACUAGCGAUUCAUCGCCCAGCUAUUAUGAGAGAAUAGAAUUGAGCAUAACUAUAUUACACCCAAUCUUGUCAUAC
Molecule: long non-coding RNA, 1629 nt
Filed under: Malus domestica (apple)
Lineage: Eukaryota; Viridiplantae; Streptophyta; Magnoliopsida; Rosales; Rosaceae
Description: long non-coding RNA (MDOM_LNC010647)
Source: RNAcentral